Molecule: ribosomal RNA, 472 nt
Filed under: Desulfovibrio sp. LVS-1
Lineage: Bacteria; Pseudomonadati; Thermodesulfobacteriota; Desulfovibrionia; Desulfovibrionales; Desulfovibrionaceae
Description: bacterial SSU rRNA
Rfam family: Bacterial small subunit ribosomal RNA
Source: RNAcentral
UCAAUUGAACGCUGGCGGCGUGCUUAACACAUGCAAGUCGUGCGAGAAAGGGGACUUCGGUCCCUGAGUAGAGCGGCGCACGGGUGAGUAACGCGUGGAUAAUCUCCCUCAUUGUUUGGGAUAACGGCGGGAAACUGCCGCUAAUACCGGAUACGCUCCAAUUUCGGUUGGGGGAAAGGCGGCCUCUGCUUGCAAGCUGUCGCAAUGAGAUGAGUCCGCGUCCCAUUAGCUUGUUGGUGGGGUAAUGGCCCACCAAGGCAACGAUGGGUAGCUGGUCUGAGAGGAUGAUCAGCCACACUGGAACUGAAACACGGUCCAGACUCCUACGGGAGGCAGCAGUGGGGAAUAUUGCGCAAUGGGGGAAACCCUGACGCAGCGACGCCGUGUGAGGGAAGAAGGCUUUCGGGUCGUAAACCUCUGUCAGGAAGGAAGAACCUCUCAAGGCUGAACAAGCCUUGGACUGACGGACUCC